CGCGUAGGCGGUCUGCUAAGUCCGAUGUUAAAGACCGGGGCUCAACCCCGGCACGGCGUUGGAUACUGGCAGGCUUGACGGCUGGAGAGGCGAGUGGAAUUACCAGUGUAGCGGUGGAAUGCGUAGAUACUGGUAGGAACACCCAUGGCGAAGGCAGCUCGCUGGACAGCACGUGACGCUGAGGCGCGAAAGUGUGGGGAGCAAACC
RNAcentral lists this ribosomal RNA (207 nucleotides) under uncultured bacterium. Its description in RNAcentral is "partial 16S ribosomal RNA". It matches the Rfam family "Bacterial small subunit ribosomal RNA", at positions 568 to 774 of the family's 1533-position model. The record is from RNAcentral.